UACGAAGGGGGCUAGCGUUGUUCGGAUUUACUGGGCGUAAAGCGCACGUAGGCGGUCCGUUAAGUCGGGAGUGAAAGCCCCAGGCUCAACUUGGGAAGUGCUUUCGAAACUGGCGGACUUGAAUACUGAAGAGGAUCGCGGAAUUCCCGGUGUAGAGGUGAAAUUCGUAGAUAUCGGGAGGAACACCAGCGGCGAAGGCGGCGAUCUGGGCAGAUAUUGACGCUGAGGUGCGAAAGCGUGGGGAGCAAACAGG
This 253-nucleotide ribosomal RNA is filed under the name uncultured bacterium. Its description in RNAcentral is "partial 16S ribosomal RNA". It matches the Rfam family "Bacterial small subunit ribosomal RNA", at positions 524 to 776 of the family's 1533-position model. The record is from RNAcentral.